UCCUAUGGAAGGUAUUCCACACCCAUAUAAUAUACCCUUCUGCUCUAAGGAUACCCUGUAACAAAGCUUCUGCCGCUUAUUUGCCAGCAAUUAAGUGCGCCGAAAGAGAUGCAGAUACGAUACUCAUUUCAAAUGGCGCCAUCGGAGUAUCUGUGGCUCUGUGUGUGUGUGGUUAUCACUGUCUCAGUGUGUGUGUGUGUAUGCCUCUUAAUUAGAAACUUGUACAUUUUGCCUAAUUUGACAAAUUGUUUUAAUGCAGUGUGCAAACUUUUCGGCUACAUUGCGACACAAAUUAGUUUUUGGGCGGCGGCGAACAUAAAUUGGGUCGAGUCGGGCCCAAACGGACAACUUGCAGAAGGAAUAAAACCAAUCAAAGGCGGUUUCAGCCAGCAGUUUGAUGAGCCACCGCAAAGCUAUGCAACAUACUCGUAUAUGCACUAUCCAUGCAUCCCAGGGAUUAUUAUGAAGCCAUUAUUCUUCUCCUGCCACCGCCUGUGCCUGCUCAACACUUAAUUGUUUCUGCUGUUGACGUUGGCCUGGCGUGGCAGCUCUGUGGCAACUUCCUGUGGGGCAAGUUGGUAUAUUUUUGGCAGCUAAUUAGCGCCCGUGGCAGCCACAGUCUCCAGUGUUUGCAGGACAGCCCUAAGAGUGGGUGGUAAACACCAAAGCAGCGGUCUUCAAAUCACCUGACACAAAUGCGCUUUGCAGUUCCCAUAAUCCCCUUGGAAGCGAAAUGAUAUAGUAGCGAAAUUCUCAUACAAUUGCUGCAGUUUUCGAAAAGUACCUGCUUCAUAGACGCACAUAAUGGCCCCCAUUUUAGGACGCGUGCAUUCAUCAUCAAACGGCCGGAUUUUCUGCGCCGUGCCGUGGCAAAAUAAACAAGUGUUUUGUGUGCAUUUUUCGAAUGCAUUGCGUUUGCCGAAAUUUACUUUAUGGGAUUUUGUUUACACUCAGAAUCGGUACUCAGAAUCGAACAGAUUGGCCAAAAUGAUUACAUGGUAUAAGUAAAUAAUAAAUAAUUAAAAUACAAAUUGAAACAGAACAAAAAAA
Molecule: long non-coding RNA, 1050 nt
Organism: Drosophila pseudoobscura
Lineage: Eukaryota; Metazoa; Arthropoda; Insecta; Diptera; Drosophilidae
Exons: 2
Source: RefSeq, a predicted model, not a curated record